GGUUUUGUAAGUUAAAAAGACUAUUAAAUUGCAAAUUUAAAAGCACAUAUUUGUCAAAACUU
RNAcentral lists this transfer RNA (62 nucleotides) under Acanthochitona avicula. RNAcentral's name for it is "tRNA-Cys". The record is from RNAcentral. Lineage: Eukaryota; Metazoa; Mollusca; Polyplacophora; Chitonida; Acanthochitonidae.